Molecule: long non-coding RNA, 1732 nt
Organism: Zeugodacus cucurbitae (melon fly)
Lineage: Eukaryota; Metazoa; Arthropoda; Insecta; Diptera; Tephritidae
Exons: 5
Source: RefSeq, a predicted model, not a curated record
UACUAGCAUUAUUUGUAUAUUAGAAUUAGAAUAUUUUUUACACAAACAUUUUGCAACAGGGACCUUAGCACGCCUCAUUUUAAAAACAAAAUUUUAUUGCCCGGUUUCAUAGUCAGUGCUUAGGUUGUGCUUAAGAUAAAACAGAAAUAUUGCGUUUUACAGUUCAUAUUUAAGUUCUGCUUAAGUAACAGCUGAUUUUUAUAUUGACUUUAAAAUAAAAAUGAUUUGCUGAAAAAAUUUUUCUUGCAUUCAAUGACAGUUAUAUGCUUUCCUGCGAGUUGCAAUAGCUGCCUCCACUCGCUUGCGGUGAAAUUCGGUGUCCUUUUAUUGUUUCCAAACAUUUUCCAGAUUCUAAAUUUAUUCGUCGCAAAGUUAUUUUUCAUCAACAAUAAUUUCAAUUUGUCAGAUGGUAUUUGUAAACAAAUGUUUUUCAUUGUGCUGCCAUAUAUCAUAAUAGAAUUUUAUAGAAAAUAAGCAUCGACUGUGAAACGCAAAUGACUACUCAGUCAACAACAAUGCUUAGCUAAGAUUUUAUUUGGGAACAUCUUAAGUACGAACCGUGAAACCGGGCAUAUGUGUUUCACAUAUGUAGGUUUUUGUUAUGAUUUAUAAAUAUAUUUUCGAGACCUUUUCUUCGGCUUCUGUGUAAAUAUUCUUUUUUUAUAUAACUGGAUUCUGACGAAUUUCAGGCGUUUUUGCGAUUGUUUAUUUAUUUUGAUCUGCAGCCUAAUUAAAGUAUAAAUUAUUGAAGCACGCAUUUUUAAAUAAGUAAAACGUAAAAUAAAAGUUUUCUAAGGCCAAAAUAUGGAAUUGAAGAGGGUUAUACAGUAAUACUUCAAUGCACUAUCAAUUCGAAGCACGCAAUAAAAGCCAACAAUGGUCAACAUCAAGGGCGAAACCAUUAAAUACAUAUUUCAAACUUAUAUGGCGCGUUAAAGGUACGCAAACUUAUUGGUGUCACUUAUUGUAACAGCGUAGAACUUUCGAAGCGAUGGAAUAUGUGCUGCAAGCAAAUCCAAAACUAUGGACGCAAACGCUGCUACAUGGAACACAAAUCAUUCACACACCAGAUAUUACGUUUAAUGUCACUUUUUUGCGUGCAAUUAAAUCUUUUGGUCAACACAAGCACGGGAAGAAUUGGAACGACAUGUUUUAGGUGCUUUUGUAACGUAUCGCGACGUAUGUCAACUGGGUUUUGCCAAUGAGCUAGAGGGCAGAGCAGUUUCAGUAUUUUUGGGCUUACCGGCACUUGGCGUGCCAUUAGCAGCUAAAACACAGAAAUUAAAGGGAGGACUUUUUUGAUGCAUUUUCACCUUGUAUUGAGGAAUCAUAACGUUGUUGUAUCGCUUUACAAGGACAUAAAUUCACCGAAGUUAGUUCAAUGGAAAUACUACAGCAAGAGCACGGAUGUUAAGACUUGAACGGUGCCGUGUUAGAUUUAGAAUUCCUGAAACAUAAGAAACCCUCCUCUCAGAUGAAUCUAGUACUAGUGAAAUUAAUGAAAGAACAGAUCUUAUAAAAUCUCCGAAAGAAACCAAAAGAGUCCUCACAUAAUGUGCGCAGCUUACACUUACACACCGCACGGGGUAUUUGACAUUUUCCACUCUUCCUCCAGCCUUUGUCAGAUAGCAAAAAUUGUUUAAAUAUUCAUUUUCACCUACUUUAUACAUAUGUAUAUAGUGUAGUACGAUAAUAUAUGUAUAAAGUAAAUAUAAUAAUAAACAACUAAAUG